GACGAACGCUGGCGGCGUGCUUAACACAUGCAUGUCGAACGCUGAAGCCCUUCGGGGUGGAUGAGUGGCGAACGGGUGAGUAACACGUGGGUAAUCUGCCCUGCACUCUGGGAUAAGCCUUGGAAACGGGGUCUAAUACCGGAUAGGACACAUCUCCGCAUGGUGUGUGUGUGGAAAGUUCCGGCGGUGCAGGUUGAGCCCGCGGCCUAUCAGCUUGUUGGUGGGGUGAUGGCCUACCAAGGCGACGACGGGUAGCCGGCCUGAGAGGGUGACCGGCCACACUGGGACUGAGACACGGCCCGGACUCCUACGGGAGGCAGCAGUGGGGAAUCUUGCGCAAUGGGCGAAAGCCUGACGCAGCAACGCCGCGCGGGGGAUGACGGCCUUCGGGUUGUAAACCUCUUUCGACCGGGACGAAGGAUUCGUUUGACGGUACCGGUAGAAGAAGCACCGGCUAACUACGUGCCAGCCGCCGCCGUAA
Molecule: ribosomal RNA, 481 nt
Filed under: uncultured bacterium
Lineage: Bacteria
Description: partial 16S ribosomal RNA
Rfam family: Bacterial small subunit ribosomal RNA
Source: RNAcentral